RNAcentral lists this long non-coding RNA (551 nucleotides) under Homo sapiens (human). RNAcentral's name for it is "non-protein coding lnc-RAB3A-1:2". Lineage: Eukaryota; Metazoa; Chordata; Mammalia; Primates; Hominidae. The record is from RNAcentral.
UUUUCUCCUUGCUCAGCUUCAAUGUGUUCCGGAGUGGGGACGGGGUGGCUGAACCUCGCAGGUGGCAGAGAGGCUCCCCUGGGGCUGUGGGGCUCUACGUGGAUCCGAUGGAGCCGCUGGUGACCUGGGUGGUCCCCCUCCUCUUCCUCUUCCUGCUGUCCAGGCAGGGCGCUGCCUGCAGAACCAGUGAGUGCUGUUUUCAGGACCCGCCAUAUCCGGAUGCAGACUCAGGUUCGGGGCAGUUCCUCAUUGUUGGCUGAGGAUUAUGUAGGGCUCUGCCUGACCCCAUCCACAGCGGCCCCUCCCAUGGCCUCCACCACCAGGCCAAAGACCCAGCCCUGCCUGUGGUCUUGGGAGUCCCCACCCCACCACCUGCUGGCCCAUUCUUACCAGGUUCAAGUUGCCCUGGAGUAGCCAGCCGCCUCUCUGAACAUUAUCACUUCCCUAGCAUGGUCUCAGGGCUGGUGUCUGUGUCCGUUCAGAUUGGUCGGUACAUGGGAGAAAGUACCUGUUAAGCAUUUUGAAGCCCCCCCCCCAACCUGAUAAAUUAU